CAGUAGCCGCGGGAAUACGUAGGGUGCAAGCGUUGAUCGGAAUUACUGGGCGUAAAGCGUGCGCAGGCGGUUUCGUAAGACAGAUGUGAAAUCCCCGGGCUUAACCUGGGAACUGCAUUUGUGACUGCGAGGCUAGAGUGUGUCAGAGGGGGGUGGAAUUCCACGUGUAGCAGUGAAAUGCGUAGAUAUGUGGAGGAACACCGAUGGCGAAGGCAGCCCCCUGGGAUAACACUGACGCUCAUGCACGAAAGCGUGGGGAGCAAACAGGAUUAGAGACCCCAGUAGUCCCUGUCUCUUAUAC
RNAcentral lists this ribosomal RNA (301 nucleotides) under uncultured bacterium. Its description in RNAcentral is "partial 16S ribosomal RNA". It matches the Rfam family "Bacterial small subunit ribosomal RNA", at positions 509 to 807 of the family's 1533-position model. The record is from RNAcentral.